Molecule: small nucleolar RNA, 589 nt
Filed under: Huiozyma naganishii CBS 8797
Lineage: Eukaryota; Fungi; Ascomycota; Saccharomycetes; Saccharomycetales; Saccharomycetaceae
Description: Kazachstania naganishii CBS 8797 Small nucleolar RNA snR30
Rfam family: Small nucleolar RNA snR30
Source: Rfam by way of RNAcentral
AAUUAUAGACUCGAGUUAGUUCGGAACGCUUAAAGAGGGGGGACUCUGCGGCUUUCUAAUUUAUUAGAACCUGCAACUGGUCCCUUUGCUAUUGCAGCUUCACCUCUUUUACAUGUCUGGCUAACGAUUCAGCGCUCGAGAGGCAGAGUUUCAAGGAACUUGCGGGCUUUACGAGGCAACAGAUGCACACUUCUCCUCCAAGGUUUUUUUUGGGGUCUGAGUCGUUUGCGUUUCAAUCUGUUGUCUUUCUUCUGUGGGACAUUUCGGUGUUCUGCGGGAGGGCCGCAUAGUUGUUGCCAUGAAAUAUAUGGAUGAGACAGAAGUAGCCCCGCUGACGAGUCAUGUCCUAAGUAUUUAGAUCAAGUGGGAUGCAUGAUUUCGAAUUCUCCUUUCCAAGUGUCGCAUUCACUAAGAUGGUGACCCUCCUCAGCUUUUCGAAGAUGGGGAUGGUCCCAUUGGCGUGCUUUGAGACGGGUCAGGAUCGAGUUCAAUCAUCUUUGUUGUCGUCCCACCGCAGUAUAUUCCUAAACACUAUGAGAUGACCCUACGGGUCGAUUAUCAUUUGGGUAAAACCAUACUGCAGACAUUC